CGUCCAUGCACUGCAGGGCAUAGCACUUAGUGAUUGGAGAAUGCAGCUUUCAUUACCAAAAGCCCCAAAGAGAGCCGGCCAAUGGCCUCUGCUACUAGGCUGAGUUCCUCCUGAUGAGCUGGAACAAGCCCAGCACAACAUCCUAACCAAGAAAGAGAGCCAGAGAGAAAGGCUUUCCAUGGGCUCCAAGGCAGAUGAGACAGUACAGCACUGUGACCCUCAUGUGGAGGGGAUUUGGAGAGUGGGCUGGGGUCAGAACUUGGAGUUCCCAGAUCCCCAACCCCACUCUGGGGCCUGUCUGCCACCACACAGCAGAUGGAGCCACAGGGAGAUGGGGGCUGGGGUGACUGUGAUGGAGUCGGAGAGCCAGAGGGAGAGGGUUUGGGUGUGGCUGUGAGUGUGAGACCCAGAGAAGGUGGUCAAGUGUCCAAAAGAGCCAGCCGGGCGUGGUGGCUCACGCCUGUAAUGCCAGCACUUUGGGAGGCUAAGGCAGGCAGAUUGCCAGAUUGCUUGAGCCUAGGAGUUCAAGACCAGCCUGGGCAACAUGGCGGAACCCCCGUCUCUACUAAAACUACAAAAAUUAGCCAGGCGUGGUGGUGCGUGCCUGUAAUCCCAGCUACUUGGGAGGCUGAGACAGGAGAAUCUCUUGAACCCGGGAGGUGGAGGUUGCAGUGAGCCAAGAUCAUGCCAUUGUACUCCAGCCUGGGCAACAGAGCGAGACUCCGUCUCAAAAAAGAAAAAAGAAAAAGCCCAAGUCAAAGGGGGAGAAAUGGGGUCAGAGACAGCCAAGGAUUGGGAGACGUGGGGCAGAGAGGGAGAGGCUGGGCCGGAGAUAGACAGGAGUGGAGGUGAGGGAGCAAGGACUCACAGCAGGUGGCAGGUGGCAGGCUUGUGUUCACGCAUCUGGCACCAGUGAGUGCCUGUUACAUGCCAGGAGUUAUUCCAGGAAGAAGGAAACUGAUAAAGUGCCCUUGAGAAUUUCUCAAACGGGAACUCCUGCAGUGGCAGCUGAGGGGCUCCAGCGCCUUCUCGGGUCCUUCCACCCCAUCUGGCUGGGUUUCCCCAUAGCCCUGGGCAUGGCAGCCUCCACCCCUAUGCCCGAGGGCAGAUGAAUGCCAGAGGGAGUGACCUGGGGCAGGUCACACGGGCAGGAAGAGGCUGCA
RNAcentral lists this long non-coding RNA (1163 nucleotides) under Homo sapiens (human). RNAcentral's name for it is "HSALNT0259618". Lineage: Eukaryota; Metazoa; Chordata; Mammalia; Primates; Hominidae. The record is from RNAcentral.